This 484-nucleotide ribosomal RNA is filed under the name uncultured bacterium. Its description in RNAcentral is "partial 16S ribosomal RNA". It matches the Rfam family "Bacterial small subunit ribosomal RNA", at positions 30 to 507 of the family's 1533-position model. The record is from RNAcentral.
AUUGAACGCUGGCGGCAGGCCUAACACAUGCAAGUCGAGCGGAUGAGGGGAGCUUGCUCCUGGAUUCAGCGGCGGACGGGUGAGUAAUGCCUAGGAAUCUGCCUGGUCGUGGGGGAUCACGUCCGGAAACGGGCGCUAAUACUGCAUACGUCCUGAGGGAGAAAGUGGGGGAUCUUCGGACCUCACGCUAUCAGAUGAGCCUAGGUCGGAUUAGCUAGUUGGUGGGGUAAAGGCCUACCAAGGCGACGAUCCGUAACUGGUCUGAGAGGAUGAUCAGUCACACUGGAACUGAGACACGGUCCAGACUACUACGGGAGGCAGCAGUGGGGAAUAUUGGACAAGGGGCGAAAGCCUGAUCCAGCCAUGCCGCGUGUGUGAAGAAGGUCUUCGGAUUGUAAAGCACUUUAAGUUGGGAGGAAGGGCAGUAAGUUAAUACCUUGCUGUUUUGACGUUACCAACAGAAUAAGCACCGGCUAACUUCGUG